Molecule: long non-coding RNA, 352 nt
Filed under: Carica papaya (papaya)
Lineage: Eukaryota; Viridiplantae; Streptophyta; Magnoliopsida; Brassicales; Caricaceae
Description: long non-coding RNA (CPAP_LNC012485)
Source: RNAcentral
CACAAUGGUGCCAUCGUCCCUUUAGUGACUGAGCUUUCCUCCAGCUGUCCUUCUACUUCUUCUCCAGUCAGGGGUGUCGACUAAGGUUUGGGAGCUGACUGAAGAAAGAUUUAUAUACCUCUCUUCGCUUGAUCUAGGUCGUCCAAUUUGGUGGACAUAGAGGCACAAGGGUCGUCUGAUCGAGCCUAUUUAGGAAAUUAAUCUGCACUAUUCGCACAUGCUAGAGUAGCCCUGAGUUGUCCGAUCGACCUGACACGUGGAUUGCCAGCGUGGGCUUCCCGCGUGGAGCCUAUGUUGACGCGGCCGCUAUGCAGCGUGUGGCGAUUGAUCGCGUUGUUGACUGGGCGUCCAC